This 465-nucleotide ribosomal RNA is filed under the name uncultured bacterium. RNAcentral describes it as "partial 16S ribosomal RNA". It matches the Rfam family "Bacterial small subunit ribosomal RNA", at positions 28 to 507 of the family's 1533-position model. The record is from RNAcentral.
GACGAACGCUGGCGGCGUGCUUAACACAUGCAAGUCGAACGGUGAACUCCGCUUGCGGGGGGAUCAGUGGCGAACGGGUGAGUAACACGUGGGCAACCUGCCCUCAGCUCUGGGAUAACUCCAAGAAAUUGGGGCUAAUACCGGAUAUGACCGCUGACCGCAUGGUCUGGUGGUGGAAAGAUUUAUCGGCUGGGGAUGGGCGCGCGGCCUAUCAGCUUGUUGGUGGGGCAGUGGCCUACCAAGGCGACGACGGGUAGCCGGCCUGGGAGGGGGACCGGCCACACUGGGACUGAGACACGGCCCAGACUCCUACGGGAGGCAGCAGUGGGGAAUAUUGCGCAAUGGGCGAAAGCCUGACGCAGCGGCGCCGCGUGGGGAAUGACGGCCUUCGGGUUGUAAACCUCUUUCAGCAGGGACGAAGCGAAAGUGACGGUACCUGCAGAAGAAGCACCGGCCAACUACGUG